GUGGGGAAUCUUCCGCAAUGGACGAAAGUCUGACGGAGCGACGCCGCGUGAGUGAAGAAGGCCUUCGGGUCGUAAAGCUCUGUCAUCAGGGACGAACGGCCGGUGGAGUGGAAAGCCACCGGAUUGACGGUACCUGAGAAGGAAGCCACGGCUAACUACGUGCCAGCAGCCGCGGUAAUACGUAGGUGGCAAGCGUUGUCCGGAAUUAUUGGGCGUAAAGCGCGCGCAGGUGGGAUCUUAAGUCCAUUUUGAAAGUUCGGAGCUCAACUCCGUGAUGGGAUGGAAACUGGGAUUCUUGAGUACCGGAGAGGAAAGCGGAAUUCCCCGUGUAGCGGUGAAAUGCGUAGAUAUGGGGAGGAACACCAGUGGCGAAGGCGGCUUUCUGGACGGUGUCUGACACUGAGGCGCGAAAGCUAGGGGAGCGAACGGGAUUAGAUACCCUAGUAGUCC
RNAcentral lists this ribosomal RNA (450 nucleotides) under uncultured bacterium. RNAcentral describes it as "partial 16S ribosomal RNA". It matches the Rfam family "Bacterial small subunit ribosomal RNA", at positions 354 to 796 of the family's 1533-position model. The record is from RNAcentral.